This 279-nucleotide long non-coding RNA is filed under the name Helianthus annuus (common sunflower). Its description in RNAcentral is "sRNA HanXRQr2_Chr05g0197281". Lineage: Eukaryota; Viridiplantae; Streptophyta; Magnoliopsida; Asterales; Asteraceae. The record is from RNAcentral.
UGUGAGGAUGGCACCAAGACCAUGUCUACACGUGAAAGGAAGGUAUUUAAUGAAAUUCGCAGGCAACCUUCAUAACUUCCAAUGCCAAUGCUCUGACUACCCGCACCUAUGUCUGUUGUAGAUAUAUUUCUCCUUAAUAAUCACAAGAAGAUGAAUGCUUAUAAAAGUCCAAUGGUACUCAGGGUCGUUCUGAUGUUGCUUCUAUUGUUGAUGUAUGUUCUAUAAUAGGGAUAAGCAUUUGGUCCCGGGUACUGGUACCGAACUGAACCGGUAUAUUCG